RNA transcript from Carya illinoinensis, 2736 nucleotides. RefSeq lists it as uncharacterized. The transcript is spliced from 4 exons. NCBI's taxonomy places the organism in Eukaryota, Viridiplantae, Streptophyta, Magnoliopsida, Fagales, Juglandaceae. The record is from RefSeq and is a predicted model, not a curated record.
UAGUUUUGAGUAGCUGAACUCUAAUUCUUUCUUUUCUUUCUAUCUAGAAAAUUAAGCAGCUCACCACUGUCUAAAGUCAUGGCUCUUGGAGGACACGAGUUCGUUCUAUACAUUUGUCUUUGAGACUGUCACAGUUUCAGUGACGCCCAGAAAAGCAGUACUUGCAUAUUUUUUGAAGAUCUGGGUUGAAAACGAUUUGAUAUCUUUGCAUCCUUUUUCUUCAGAAUUCGAUCAUAAGCGAGACAUUUUCCUGACUAGUUUUCUUUAGGCUUUCCCUUCUCCUUUUUCUUUUUUGAAAGAGCUACAAUAAAGACCGUCUGAUAAGAGAUUCCUGAUUCAUCCUCAUCUUGGAUUAAGAGCUGCCCAACUUUCUUCUCAGAUAUUCUGUCUCUUGCUGUUCUCUGUUAUCAUAGUCCUAGACCUGGAUUUUGAGCUAAAAAGAAUCAUGCAUCCCUAAGCUGCAUUGCCAACCCUGCACCUUACGCCCUCGACCGCACACGUGGCAAAUCAAUCAUAUUGAUCCUUAAACCCAUAUUCUUAUGUUGUACGGCAAUGGAAGUGUGACAAAGCAAUGGAAAGUCUUUAAUGCAGAUUUUGCAUUAAUAGUUCUCACAUUGACCAGAAUGGCCUCUUUUCACCUCCUUCGUUGAAGGAAAGGGCAUGGUAGCCAGCUCAAAGUUUUUUCUUUUUGCAAGCGGUCUAGCGUCACUUUAUUGGUAACAAUUUCUUCUUUUUGGCCAAUAGAAAUACUAAACUGGUCUGCUCUUAAAGAAGGGUGACCCCACAGUUCUUCACCCAUUCAAGUAAACUGCAGAUACCCAUAGAAGGAAAUUCACAUCACAUGUUCUGAGCCAGAGCAAGACACCUUUCUAUCCUUUUUCUUUCUUUAUGGAGGGAGUUGUAGCAACACACUUUCUGUUAACAUGAAAUGUCAUGAAUACGUGAAAUCCGGGGAACUUUUGCCCAUCCAGGUCCGAUGGAGAAAAUUACAAACGUACCCCUAUAGUUAGUGGGGGCCCCAUCUCUCAAUGGAAUUGACAGGAAGUGUAGGGUGGAGGUGAUAUUUGACCUAAGUGUCAAAAACUCAAAACCCUUUUUCUUGAACGAAGAGGCUGUUUUGUUUAGUUUAGAUCUCUUGGUCUGCUCUUAACUCUGCCUUUGCAUUACUUGGUCCUCACACUCCCUAGAAUCCACAAACGAAUGUUAGGCUUGAGAGACCCACUGUUGUGUAGGGAUGGGUGGUGGCGGUCUCGAUGAAUUUAACCUCGGCCCUUGUGCCUGUUUGGUCAGGUUGAGAGUCAGGCUGCCCUCAGAUUUUUAAAACAGCUAUUAAAGUAAGACUUCUCUUUUGUUUUGAUAUAUUAAGUGUUGGAAACUAAUGUGAGCAUGUGGAAAUAGAAAAAGUGGCACUGUAAUCAUACCACAUUGUUCUUUUUCAUUCAUAAUUAUAUAAUGCAGGAGCUACUUGGAUCCCUACUUCAGACUAACAAUAAUAAUAAAAAAAAGGGUAUAGAUCCUAACUUGGAGGGAAAUUUUUGAGUUGAUGAAGGGUAGGGAAGGAAACCAGAAGCAGACAGUGAUUGCUUGCGCAAAUCUAGCUAAUCUGGGCUUCUUGGGUAAGCAAGGUAAGAGGAAGAGAGAGAGAGGAGGGGCUGAGAGUUUGGGGCUUAAGGCAAGCAAAGCAACAAUGCCCAGUUCAAACCGUACCAUACACACCCAUUUCCCUCAUGUCUUGCCCACAUUUAAUUGGCCUCAUUAUGUUUAGACAGUCAGUCACACAGUUGCAGCAGCGUGGGACAGACAGAAGACACGCACACAAGGCAAAGCCUCAUGUUCUCAGCUUCUUAUUACAACGCAGCACAGUCUAUUUAACAUGUACAUAUAUUUUGCUUUUCUUAUGAUAGGACAAGAGAGAACCCCAUCAUCAAAGGGAUUUAGAAGGAUUGCUUCUCAAAGGAAGGAGGAAAGUAGGAGGAAAAAUCGCUUCUGGAGGGAGUGGUAACAGGAGCGGUGAAAGUAUGGAGAGGCCUCAUGUGGCUGUCACUAUUCGUGAAUCUCGGUUUAUCUUUGUAACCAGAACGUUCGUGAAACAAAUGGGUUUCCCUGGCUUAUGCGUGGGUUGCUCUGGUUAUAAAAGGAACCCCAUUUCCCAAGUCCAAUCUUCGCAACUAGCUCUGCUCUUCCUCCUUUUCUGCUUCCUUGUCUUUUGACGAUGGUGUUGGUGGUGGUGAUAUUGGCGGGACGGCUCAAUCUCUUAAAUUUAUGACAUAGUUCUUCUCCUCCUCUUUUCUUCAUUAUGAUGUUGUUCAUACUGAAAGUUUAUGCAAAAGUUCUUCCUUCUAUUGACACUAACUUGCUGUUUUGGUUUUGCAUUUGUGCCUUACUGCUUCUUGAAGAGAACCCCAUUCCUUCAGAUAUCAAAGAAAGAAACGAAGCAGAUAAAUUUUAUGCAGUAAAUAGCUAGGGGGGCAGUUAAACUGUUUGCUUUAGUUUUUGGAGUCCCUGAAUCUGUAGAGCCAUGAAUGUUCAAACACUGUUUUAUUAUCAAUUUUCAGAUUUUCUGUCAGUCUUUGCUUCUGGACGUCUAUUCCUAAUGUGUUUUCCUUUUCUCCUUGGAAGACGUGGGGCUUCAUUGUAUUCAAAUCAAGUAGGAGAUUUCAUUUCAUUUAUGUAUACUAACAUGGAAACAAAGAAAAUAUAUUCAUGGGAAUGCAUCCUUUGGAUUUUCCUCUUCUA